Molecule: long non-coding RNA, 260 nt
Filed under: Amborella trichopoda
Lineage: Eukaryota; Viridiplantae; Streptophyta; Magnoliopsida; Amborellales; Amborellaceae
Description: long non-coding RNA (ATRI_LNC002728)
Source: RNAcentral
UUUGGAUGUGCAAUGCCUUAUGCCGGUUUGUGACAUCUCUUACUGUAAUUUGAUGAGGAGUUCAUUUUGUGAAGUGAGAUUGAGAUUGGUGAUUAUUUCACCUUGUUAAUAGAAGUUAUAGGUUGGUGUAUUGUAUUGACUACUAAGAUGGAUACUUCAAGUUUUAUAUCAGAGUUCCUUGUAUUACUUUUUGUAUUAGGUUUUGUACUGAAGCAUCCUCGUAGAGAGAGCUUGUCAUUGAAAAUGUGUUUGUGUAACCC